CAUGCCGCGUGUGUGAAGAAGGCCUUCGGGUUGUAAAGCACUUUCAGUCGUGAGGAAGGUAGUGUAGUUAAUAGCUGCAUUAUUUGACGUUAGCGACAGAAGAAGCACCGGCUAACUCCGUGCCAGCAGCCGCGGUAAUACGGAGGGUGCGAGCGUUAAUCGGAAUUACUGGGCGUAAAGCGCAUGCAGGUGGUUUGUUAAGUCAGAUGUGAAAGCCCGGGGCUCAACCUCGGAAUAGCAUUUGAAACUGGCAGACUAGAGUACUGUAGAGGGGGGUAGAAUUUCAGGUGUAGCGGUGAAAUGCGUAGAGAUCUGAAGGAAUACCGGUGGCGAAGGCGGCCCCCUGGACAGAUACUGACACUCAGAUGCGAAAGCGUGGGGAGCAAACAGGAUUAGAUACCCUGGUAGUCCACGCCGUAAACGAUGUCUACUUGGAGGUUGUGGCCUUGAGCCGUGGCUUUCGGAGCUAACGCGUUAAGUAGACCGCCUGGGGAGUACGGUCGCAAGAUUAAAACUCAAAUGAAUUGACGGGGGCCCGCACAAGCGGUGGAGCAUGUGGUUUAAUUCGAUGCAACGCGAAGAACCUUACCUACUCUUGACAUCCAGAGAACUUUCCAGAGAUGGAUUGGUGCCUUCGGGAACUCUGAGACAGGUGCUGCAUGGCUGUCGUCAGCUCGUGUUGUGAAAUGUUGGGUUAAGUCCCGCAACGAGCGCAACCCUUAUCCUUGUUUGCCAGCGAGUAAUGUCGGGAACUCCAGGGAGACUGCCGGUGAUAAACCGGAGGAAGGUGGGGACGACGUCAAGUCAUCAUGGCCCUUACGAGUAGGGCUACACACGUGCUACAAUGGCGCAUACAGAGGGCGGCCAACUUGCGAAAGUGAGCGAAUCCCAAAAAGUGCGUCGUAGUCCGGAUUGGAGUCUGCAACUCGACUCCAUGAAGUCGGAAUCGCUAGUAAUCGUGGAUCAGAAUGCCACGGUGAAUACGUUCCCGGGCCUUGUACACACCGCCCGUCACACCAUGGGAGUGGGCUGCAAAAGAAGUAGGUAGUUUAACCUCGGGGGACGCUUACCGUA
RNAcentral lists this ribosomal RNA (1074 nucleotides) under Vibrio parahaemolyticus. RNAcentral's name for it is "bacterial SSU rRNA". It matches the Rfam family "Bacterial small subunit ribosomal RNA", at positions 393 to 1461 of the family's 1533-position model. Lineage: Bacteria; Pseudomonadati; Pseudomonadota; Gammaproteobacteria; Vibrionales; Vibrionaceae. The record is from RNAcentral.